UUCCGUAGGUCAACCUGCGGAAGGAUCAUUA
This 31-nucleotide non-coding RNA is filed under the name Mus musculus (house mouse). The record is from RNAcentral. RNAcentral also lists the same sequence under 1 other name. Lineage: Eukaryota; Metazoa; Chordata; Mammalia; Rodentia; Muridae.